GAUGAACGCUGGCGGCGUGCCUAAUACAUGCAAGUCGAGCGAACAGAUAAGGAGCUUGCUCCUUUGACGUUAGCGGCGGACGUGUGAGUAACACGUGUGUAACCUACCUAUAAGACUGGUAUAACUCCGGUAAACCGGGUCUAAUGCCGGAUAACAUUUAGAACCGCGUGGUUCUAAAGUGAAAUUUGGUUUUUCUGUCACUUAUAGAUGGACCCGCGCCGGAUUAGCUAGUUGGUAGGGUAACGGGCUAGCAAGGCAACGAUACGUAGCCGACCUGCGGGGGGGAUCGGCGACACUGGAACUUAGACAGGGUCAAGACUCCUAAGGGAGGCAGCAGUAGGGAAUGGGACGCAAUGGGCGAAAGCCUGACGGAGCAACGCCGAGUCAGUGAUGAAGGCCUUGGGAUCGUAAAACUCUGUUAUUAGGGAAGAACCAAUGUGUCAGUAACUGUGCAGGUAUUGACGGUAACUAAUCAGAAAGCACCGGCUAACUACGUG
This 497-nucleotide ribosomal RNA is filed under the name uncultured bacterium. Its description in RNAcentral is "partial 16S ribosomal RNA". It matches the Rfam family "Bacterial small subunit ribosomal RNA", at positions 28 to 507 of the family's 1533-position model. The record is from RNAcentral.